UACGGAGGGUGCGAGCGUUGUCCGGAAUCACUGGGCGUAAAGGGCGCGUAGGCGGCCUGAUAAGUAGGGGGUGAAAUCCUGCGGCUUAACCGCAGGGCUGCCUUCUAAACUGUCAGGCUGGAGCACAGUAGAGGCAGGUGGAAUUCCCGGUGUAGCGGUGGAAUGCGUAGAGAUCGGGAAGAACACCAGUGGCGAAGGCGGCGACCUGGGCCAAUAUUGACGCUGAGGUGCGAAAGCGUGGGGAGCAAACAGG
RNAcentral lists this ribosomal RNA (253 nucleotides) under uncultured bacterium. RNAcentral describes it as "partial 16S ribosomal RNA". It matches the Rfam family "Bacterial small subunit ribosomal RNA", at positions 524 to 776 of the family's 1533-position model. The record is from RNAcentral.